Molecule: small nucleolar RNA, 74 nt
Organism: Metopolophium dirhodum (rose-grain aphid)
Lineage: Eukaryota; Metazoa; Arthropoda; Insecta; Hemiptera; Aphididae
Source: RefSeq, a predicted model, not a curated record
UUGCCAUGAUGAGUUACAUAAUUAUUGAUAGAAUCUAUGAGAGUAUUUUUAUGAGCUUUUUAACACUGAGCAAU